This 328-nucleotide ribosomal RNA is filed under the name uncultured Clostridiaceae bacterium. RNAcentral's name for it is "bacterial SSU rRNA". It matches the Rfam family "Bacterial small subunit ribosomal RNA", at positions 28 to 339 of the family's 1533-position model. Lineage: Bacteria; Bacillati; Bacillota; Clostridia; Eubacteriales; Clostridiaceae. The record is from RNAcentral.
GAUGAACGCUGGCGGCGUGCCUAACACAUGCAAGUCGAGCGAGAAGCUUUGAAAUGACGCUUCGGUUGAUUUUCAAAGUGGAAAGCGGCGGACGGGUGAGUAACGCGUAGGCAACCUGCCCUUUGCAAAGGGAUAGCCAUUGGAAACGAUGAUUAAUACCUCAUAAUGCGGGACCAAGACAUCUUGGACCUGCCAAAGAUUUAUCGGCAAGGGAUGGGCCUGCGUCUGAUUAGCUGGUUGGUGGGGUAACGGCUCACCAAGGCGACGAUCAGUAGCCGACCUGAGAGGGUGAUCGGCCACAUUGGAACUGAGACACGGUCCAGACUCC